AAUUGGAGGGCAAGUCUGGUGCCAGCAGCCGCGGUAAUUCCAGCUCCAAUAGCGUAUAUUAAAGUUGUUGCAGUUAAAAAGCUCGUAGUUGAAUUUCGGGAUUGACGUGAUGGUCGUGCCUUAAGGGGUAUGAACUGUCGCAGUUGAUUUCUCACCUUCUGGAGAAGCAUGAUGUCCUUAAUUGGGUGUCAUGUGGAACCAGGACCUUUACCUUGAAAAAAUUAGAGUGUUUAAAGCAGGCAUUUUGCUCGAAUACAUUAGCAUGGAAUAAUAGAAUAGGACGGCAUGGUUCUAUUUUGUUGGUUUCUAGGAUCACCGUAAUGAUUAAUAGGGAUAGUUGGGGGCAUUAGUAUUCAAUUGUCAGAGGUGAAAUUCUUGGAUUUAUUGAAGACUAAUUACUGCGAAAGCAUUUGCCAAGGAUGUUUUCAUUAAUCAAGAACGAAAGUUAGGGGAUCGAAGACGAUCAGAUACCGUCGUAGUCUUAACCAUAAACUAUGCCGACUAGGAAUCAGACGAUGUUAAUUUUUUAAUGACUCGUUUGGCACCUUACGGGAAACCAAAGUGU
This 565-nucleotide ribosomal RNA is filed under the name uncultured Glomus. Its description in RNAcentral is "SSU rRNA". It matches the Rfam family "Eukaryotic small subunit ribosomal RNA", at positions 546 to 1106 of the family's 1831-position model. Lineage: Eukaryota; Fungi; Glomeromycota; Glomeromycetes; Glomerales; Glomeraceae. The record is from RNAcentral.